UACAGAGGUCUCAAGCGUUGUUCGGAUUCAUUGGGCGUAAAGGGCGUGUAGGUGGCGCGCUAAGUCGGGUGUGAAAUUUCGGAGCUUAACUCCGAAACUGCAUUCGAUACUGGCGUGCUUGAGGACUGGAGAGGAGACUGGAAUUUACGGUGUAGCGGUGAAAUGCGUAGAUAUCGUAAGGAAGACCAGUGGCGAAGGCGGGUCUCUGGACAGUUCCUGACGCUGAGGCACGAAGGCCAGGGGAGCAAACGGG
Molecule: ribosomal RNA, 253 nt
Filed under: uncultured bacterium
Lineage: Bacteria
Description: partial 16S ribosomal RNA
Rfam family: Bacterial small subunit ribosomal RNA
Source: RNAcentral